Cordylochernes scorpioides is the source of this 65-nucleotide non-coding RNA. The record is from the annotation of a GenBank genome assembly. Lineage: Eukaryota; Metazoa; Arthropoda; Arachnida; Pseudoscorpiones; Chernetidae.
UCCCUCAAGCCGGAUUUGAACCAGCGACCUAACCAGCGCCGCUCUGCCAACUGAGCUAUCGAGGG